This 217-nucleotide ribosomal RNA is filed under the name uncultured bacterium. RNAcentral's name for it is "partial 16S ribosomal RNA". It matches the Rfam family "Bacterial small subunit ribosomal RNA", at positions 1065 to 1281 of the family's 1533-position model. The record is from RNAcentral.
UCUUGAGGGAUUGGGGUAAGUCCCCCAAAGAGGGCAAACCCCUUGUUUUGUUUCCAGCAUGUUAAGAUGGGGAAUUUAAACAGAAUGCCGUUGGAAAAACGGAGGAAAGGGGGGGAGAGGUCAAGUCUUCAUGGCCCCUAUGUCCGGGGGUACACACGUGUUACAAAGGGCGGUACAAAGGGGGGCGAAAAGGGGAAAGGGGGCCAAUUUCAAAAAA